RNAcentral lists this ribosomal RNA (497 nucleotides) under uncultured bacterium. RNAcentral's name for it is "partial 16S ribosomal RNA". It matches the Rfam family "Bacterial small subunit ribosomal RNA", at positions 28 to 507 of the family's 1533-position model. The record is from RNAcentral.
GAUGAACGCUGGCGGCGUGCCUAAUACAUGCAAGUCGAGCGAACAGACGAGGAGCUUGCUCCUCUGACGUUAGCGGCGGACGGGUGAGUAACACGUGGAUAACCUACCUAUAAGACUGGGAUAACUUCGGGAAACCGGAGCUAAUACCGGAUAAUAUAUUGAACCGCAUGGUUCAAUAGUGAAAGACGGUUUUGCUGUCACUUAUAGAUGGAUCCGCGCCACAUUAGCUAGUUGGUAAGGUAACGGCUUACCAAGGCGACGAUGCGUAGCCGACCUGAGAGGGUGAUCGGCAACACUGGAACUGAGACACGGUCCAGACUCCUACGGGAGGCAGCAGUAGGGAAUCUUCCGCAAGGGGCGAAAGCCUGACGGAGCAACGCCGCGUGAGUGAUGAAGGUCUUCGGAUCGUAAAACUCUGUUAUUAGGGAAGAACAAAUGUGUAAGUAACUAUGCACGUCUUGACGGAACCUAAUCAGAAAGCCACGGCUAACUACGUG